This 592-nucleotide ribosomal RNA is filed under the name Clarireedia homoeocarpa. Its description in RNAcentral is "eukaryotic LSU rRNA". The stretch from base 236 to 389 matches the Rfam family "5.8S ribosomal RNA". The record is from RNAcentral. Lineage: Eukaryota; Fungi; Ascomycota; Leotiomycetes; Helotiales; Rutstroemiaceae.
UGAACCUGCGGAAGGAUCAUUAACCUUUCAAUCAGGGUGCGGCGCGGCCCCCGAGGAGCGGAAACAAUCCUUGGGAGGUAUGCGGGGGCUUCGAGCCCCCCAUUUACGCACGCACGACUGCCAUCCUUACUUUACGAGCACCUUCUGUUCUCCCUCGGCGGGGCAACCUGCCGUUGGAACCGAAUAAACUCUUUUUGCAUCUAGCAUUACCUGUUCCGAAACAAACAAUCGUUACAACUUUCAACAAUGGAUCUCUUGGCUCUGGCAUCGAUGAAGAACGCAGCGAAAUGCGAUAAGUAGUGUGAAUUGCAGAAUUCAGUGAAUCAUCGAAUCUUUGAACGCACAUUGCGCCCCUCGGUAUUCCGUGGGGCAUGCCUGUUCGAGCGUCAUCUACACCCUCAAGCUCUGCUUGGUGUUGGGCGUCUGUCCCGCCUCCGCGCGUGGACUCGCCCCAAAUUCAUUGGCAGCGGUCCUUGCCUCCUCUCGCGCAGCACAUUGCGCUUCUCGAGGGGCUACGGCUCGCGUCCAACAAGCACAUUUACCGUCUUUGACCUCGGAUCAGGUAGGGAUACCCCGCUGAACUUAAGCAUAU